RNAcentral lists this ribosomal RNA (493 nucleotides) under Trimeresurus popeiorum (Pope's bamboo pit viper). RNAcentral's name for it is "partial 16S ribosomal RNA". It matches the Rfam family "Bacterial large subunit ribosomal RNA", at positions 1849 to 2609 of the family's 2925-position model. Lineage: Eukaryota; Metazoa; Chordata; Lepidosauria; Squamata; Viperidae. The record is from RNAcentral.
AAGGCUACGCCUGCCCAGUGAAUAAUUAAACGGCCGCGGUAUCCUAACCGUGCAAAGGUAGCAUAAUCAUUUGUCUAUUAAUUGUAGACCUGUAUGAAAGGCUAAAUGAGAGUCCAACUGUCUCUUACAACAAAUCAAUAAAACUGAUCUCCUAGUACAAAAGCUAGAAUACUGACAUAAGACCAGAAGACCCUGUGAAGCUUUAAUAAACCCAUUAAACCAAAUAAUGCUUACUUUCGGUUGGGGCGACCUUGGAAUAAAAAAGAACUUCCAACAUAUGACCUCCUCAUAAAACAAGGCAAACAAGCCAACAUUAGAUCCAGCACAGCUGAUAAUUGAAAUAAGUUACUCCAGGGAUAACAGCGCUAUCUUCUUUAAGAGCCCAUAUCAAAAAGAAGGUUUACGACCUCGAUGUUGGAUCAGGACAUCCCAGUAAUGCAACCGUUACUAAAGGUUCGUUUGUUCAACGAUUAACAGUCCUACGUGAUCUGAG